Molecule: ribosomal RNA, 177 nt
Filed under: uncultured bacterium
Lineage: Bacteria
Description: partial 16S ribosomal RNA
Rfam family: Bacterial small subunit ribosomal RNA
Source: RNAcentral
UCGGGAAUUUGCGCAAUGGCCGAAAGGCUGACGCAGCAACGCCGCGUGAGUGAAGAAGGCCUUCGGGUUGUAAAGCUCUGUUGUUAGGGAAGAACAGCUGGGGUAGGAAAUGACCUCGGUUUGACGGUACCUGACGAGGAAGCCACGGCUAACUACGUGCCAGCAGCCGCGGUAAUA